UAGAAGUUCAAAAUGUAAACAAAGCGUUUGUUUACAUUACGGACUUUACAGCAUCUUUAAAAAAGAUCCUAGUCGCGAAAAGCGAAAUUAUAUUACAUGGCAUAUCAUAAUGCUCGGCCAUAUGACCUUAUAUAAAAAUCUUACGAAGACUAAUGAUCAGGUUCAUUCCCAGAUCUAGGAUGAAAGUAAUCAUAGUAACCCCCUCUCCUCCCCC
Paramuricea clavata is the source of this 214-nucleotide non-coding RNA. Lineage: Eukaryota; Metazoa; Cnidaria; Anthozoa; Malacalcyonacea; Plexauridae. The record is from the annotation of a GenBank genome assembly.